Molecule: ribosomal RNA, 2758 nt
Filed under: Klebsiella pneumoniae
Lineage: Bacteria; Pseudomonadati; Pseudomonadota; Gammaproteobacteria; Enterobacterales; Enterobacteriaceae
Description: bacterial LSU rRNA
Rfam family: Bacterial large subunit ribosomal RNA
Source: RNAcentral
CACUAUCGUUAACUGAAUACAUAGGUUAACGAGGCGAACCGGGGGAACUGAAACAUCUAAGUACCCCGAGGAAAAGAAAUCAACCGAGAUUCCCCCAGUAGCGGCGAGCGAACGGGGAGCAGCCCAGAGUCUGAAUCAGCUUGUGUGUUAGUGGAACGGUCUGGAAAGUCCGACGGUACAGGGUGAUAGUCCCGUACACCAAAAUGCACAGGUUGUGAACUCGAAGAGUAGGGCGGGACACGUGGUAUCCUGUCUGAAUAUGGGGGGACCAUCCUCCAAGGCUAAAUACUCCUGACUGACCGAUAGUGAACCAGUACCGUGAGGGAAAGGCGAAAAGAACCCCGGCGAGGGGAGUGAAAAAGAACCUGAAACCGUGUACGUACAAGCAGUGGGAGCACCUUCGGGUGUGACUGCGUACCUUUUGUAUAAUGGGUCAGCGACUUAUAUUCUGUAGCAAGGUUAACCGUAUAGGGGAGCCGCAGGGAAACCGAGUCUUAACUGGGCGUUAAGUUGCAGGGUAUAGACCCGAAACCCGGUGAUCUAGCCAUGGGCAGGUUGAAGGUUGGGUAACACUAACUGGAGGACCGAACCGACUAAUGUUGAAAAAUUAGCGGAUGACUUGUGGCUGGGGGUGAAAGGCCAAUCAAACCGGGAGAUAGCUGGUUCUCCCCGAAAGCUAUUUAGGUAGCGCCUCGUGAACUCAUCUUCGGGGGUAGAGCACUGUUUCGGCUAGGGGGUCAUCCCGACUUACCAACCCGAUGCAAACUACGAAUACCGAAGAAUGUUAUCACGGGAGACACACGGCGGGUGCUAACGUCCGUCGUGAAGAGGGAAACAACCCAGACCGCCAGCUAAGGUCCCAAAGUCAUGGUUAAGUGGGAAACGAUGUGGGAAGGCACAGACAGCCAGGAUGUUGGCUUAGAAGCAGCCAUCAUUUAAAGAAAGCGUAAUAGCUCACUGGUCGAGUCGGCCUGCGCGGAAGAUGUAACGGGGCUAAACCAUGCACCGAAGCUGCGGCAGCGACACUAUGUGUUGUUGGGUAGGGGAGCGUUCUGUAAGCCUGCGAAGGUGUGCUGUGAGGCAUGCUGGAGGUAUCAGAAGUGCGAAUGCUGACAUAAGUAACGAUAAAGCGGGUGAAAAGCCCGCUCGCCGGAAGACCAAGGGUUCCUGUCCAACGUUAAUCGGGGCAGGGUGAGUCGACCCCUAAGGCGAGGCCGAAAGGCGUAGUCGAUGGGAAACAGGUUAAUAUUCCUGUACUUGGUGUUACUGCGAAGGGGGGACGGAGAAGGCUAUGUUAGCCGGGCGACGGUUGUCCCGGUUUAAGCAUGUAGGCUGGUUAUCCAGGCAAAUCCGGAUAAUCAAGGCUGAGGUGUGAUGACGAGGCACUACGGUGCUGAAGUAACAAAUGCCCUGCUUCCAGGAAAAGCCUCUAAGCAUCAGGUAACAUCAAAUCGUACCCCAAACCGACACAGGUGGUCAGGUAGAGAAUACCAAGGCGCUUGAGAGAACUCGGGUGAAGGAACUAGGCAAAAUGGUGCCGUAACUUCGGGAGAAGGCACGCUGGUGUGUAGGUGAAGUCCCUGCGGAUGGAGCUGAGACCAGUCGAAGAUACCAGCUGGCUGCAACUGUUUAUUAAAAACACAGCACUGUGCAAACACGAAAGUGGACGUAUACGGUGUGACGCCUGCCCGGUGCCGGAAGGUUAAUUGAUGGGGUUAUCCGUAAGGAGAAGCUCUUGAUCGAAGCCCCGGUAAACGGCGGCCGUAACUAUAACGGUCCUAAGGUAGCGAAAUUCCUUGUCGGGUAAGUUCCGACCUGCACGAAUGGCGUAAUGAUGGCCAGGCUGUCUCCACCCGAGACUCAGUGAAAUUGAACUCGCUGUGAAGAUGCAGUGUACCCGCGGCAAGACGGAAAGACCCCGUGAACCUUUACUAUAGCUUGACACUGAACAUUGAGCCUUGAUGUGUAGGAUAGGUGGGAGGCUUUGAAGCGUGGACGCCAGUCUGCGUGGAGCCAACCUUGAAAUACCACCCUUUAAUGUUUGAUGUUCUAACGUUGGCCCCUUACCGGGGUUGCGGACAGUGUCUGGUGGGUAGUUUGACUGGGGCGGUCUCCUCCCAAAGCGUAACGGAGGAGCACGAAGGUUAGCUAAUCCUGGUCGGACAUCAGGAGGUUAGUGCAAUGGCAUAAGCUAGCUUGACUGCGAGCGUGACGGCGCGAGCAGGUGCGAAAGCAGGUCAUAGUGAUCCGGUGGUUCUGAAUGGAAGGGCCAUCGCUCAACGGAUAAAAGGUACUCCGGGGAUAACAGGCUGAUACCGCCCAAGAGUUCAUAUCGACGGCGGUGUUUGGCACCUCGAUGUCGGCUCAUCACAUCCUGGGGCUGAAGUAGGUCCCAAGGGUAUGGCUGUUCGCCAUUUAAAGUGGUACGCGAGCUGGGUUUAGAACGUCGUGAGACAGUUCGGUCCCUAUCUGCCGUGGGCGCUGGAGAAUUGAGGGGGGCUGCUCCUAGUACGAGAGGACCGGAGUGGACGCAUCACUGGUGUUCGGGUUGUCAUGCCAAUGGCACUGCCCGGUAGCUAAAUGCGGAAGAGAUAAGUGCUGAAAGCAUCUAAGCACGAAACUUGCCCCGAGAUGAGUUCUCCCUGAGACUAUAAGUCUCCUGAAGGAACGUUAAAGACGAUGACGUUGAUAGGCCGGGUGUGUAAGCGCAGCGAUGCGUUGAGCUAACCGGUACUAAUGAACCGUGAGGCUUAACCUU